AUAUGAGCGCCUCAUUUAAUGUAUGCAAAUUGCCCAAUGCUACUCUGCAAACCAGUUUAAUUUCUAACAUUAAGUAGCAGUAACCAAUGAAGAUAGUGUGUAGCAGUUUGUUACCUUGUGCCCUGCAGGAGGUGUGUGGUUACUGUCUGCUUGCUUCCUAUUGGCCAGACGUUUCUAAGUCAGUUGAGGUAUCAUUGUUUAGUUUGUUUAUAGACGCUGCAUUCUUUUAGCACAGCUGAAAAGACAGCAAACUGCUCUUUUGGGUUUCAGUGUCUCUGCUCACUUUGUAGCUUUGACAUUGCUCCAUAACCAGCCAUCAGCAGUACCAUGACAGACAGUGAUCCCAAGACCCCACAGGACCUCUCCGACUUUGUAAGUGUUAUGUUGAUGUUGCUAUAUGUUACAUGUGAGUUGUCGAUUAGGAUUGUGGGAUCUGUUUGGAGGAGUUGGCUGGGAUUUAAUAUCACCUAGUUACAUGAAUUGCAGUCUAACCAUUCAUACUAAGCUAUAUCUGUUCAUAUUAUAUGUUUUAAAGCUGUCUUGAUUCUAGCUGCUCAUCUUGUCAGAUAAGAGGCUGACCACGAUAUAUAUAUAUUCAAUUAUGUUAAUGAAAUAAUUUUCCCUUUGUUAAAUGUAUAUUAUUUUCUAACUUUCACUGCACCUUGUGAUGAAAAUUUAAAAAAACAUUUAAGGUUUCAUUUACUAAACAUUUCGUACCAAAGUGAUAUUUAAAGGAGCAUUCUAUGCACCAAAAUCACUGGAAGCUACUGCGGUGAUUAUGAUACCAGGAGUGCGCUGGCGCUGUCCCUUGGCAAUGUGUCAAACUGUUUUAUUAUAAUCUAACAAUUUUCUGGGUCUCUCUUGGCUCCUUGGCUGAGCGCUUGCUGCUGAUGCUAUGCCCUUUCUUGAAUGGCCCUGCUUUUUCUACAGAGCAAUCUGUAUGUAGUGCAGGGCUUGACACAUUUUUUGGGAAUCUGGGAGCCAGCUAAAAACGUUAGGAGCCAGUUUUUUUUUUUUUUUUAAAGGGACACAAUAGUCACCAGAACCACUACAGAUAAAAGUAGUUGUUCUGGUGUCUAUAGCCUGCCUAUGUAGCCUUUUCAAUGUAAAUGCUGCAUUUUCAGAGUAUUUCUGCCUACUAAGACCUCUAGUGACAGUCACUCAGGAGGCCAGAGUUCUGUGUGGGUGCUCUGCAUGGAGGUGCUAAAUGUUACCCAUAGAGAACAUGCACAAUAUCCUCCCAAUGCUUUUCAAUGGGAAAGCAAUGGCUUAGCUGAGAUCAUAAAGAUUGCUCAACUCGGCUAUGAAGACGGGACAAGCCACGGCGAAACCAGCACGGCGUGGGAAAAUAAAGGGGGUAAAAACAUCAAUCAUGUGAUCGGAGGGGGGCAGGGACCUAAACCAUCACACACUCUCUGACAGACACAGGCACGCACUGACAGACACAUAUGCACACACCGAGAGAGACUGAUACACACUGACAGACACACACACUAACAGACAUUUGCACAUACUGAGAGACCAAGACAUACACAGAGAGACAGAGACAUACACACACACAUUUGCUCACACACUUACAAAAAAAAAAGUAAUUUUUCUAUUGUAAUCCACCCAGCCUCCCUACCUUUUGGGAGAGCUGUGUGAAUAUUUCCCUGGGGUCCAGUGGGGCUGCUCUAUCUUCCUGCGUUCGAGGGAGCAGUAAUCUACUUGCAGCUCCUCUCUGCUCCCUGUGGUGAUGCCGGGACCGGAAUUACAUCAUUUUGAGUCCCAGCAUCAUUAAACAACGUGAGGAACUGCAGAAAGAUCACUGCUGCCUCAGCCGACCACCUCGAUGCUCCCCGUCAGCCGGCCACCAGGGCGGCCGGCUACAACGUUCCCUGAGCUGACCACCUCCAUAAAACCCAGAGCAGCCGACUACAACGCUCUCUGAGCCAGAUGCCUUCAUGCUCCUACAGGCGGCCGACUCCAUUAUUUUCACAGUCGGCCGCUUUAGGUGAAAGGGCAAAAUUUCUAGUCACCAUGGCGACCAGGCACCUGGAAUUUGUCAAGCCCUGAUGUAGUGGUUAUGGUGCUUGAAUGCAGGGCCGGAUUCACAUAGGGGCUGAUGGAGCUCCAGGUCCAGGCCCUGGCCCUGGCCCAUGGAAUAGGCACAUUUAAAAAAAAAAAAAGUUUUUACACACUACUCUUAGGUUUGACUGGUAUUUUACCAGCACAGCCGGUAUUUUGAGGCUGCCUGGCCAUGCCGGUAUUGCAGUAAUACCGGCAAUAAAAAUGCAGAUAUUUUUCUCAGUAUAAACGGAGAUUACUCUGCAUUACCAGCGCCAGUAGGGGUCACUAUGUGUGGAGAGGCAGACAUGCCCCCUUUUUGGGCAUGUUUGCCCCUUUUGGCAGUUCUGAUCACGUGAUUUGUGUCAGUGGCCCACCCUUUUACCUCGCCCAUUGACUUUCUACUUCACUGGACUCUGCUGUUAGGGGGUAUGGAUUUACUUGAAAGCAUAAAUUAGAGAGAGAUUAGCAUAGAGUAUGUGUUUUCUUAUAGCUGCAUCCCUCCAACACCAUCUCCAUCAGAUACAUGACGCUUGAGAUGUAUGACUGUAUUAGUGUUUUUGGUCGAUAACACAGAUGGGUAUACAUGGAACAGAAAGCCACAGAUAAGCACAUCCAUAAACAGCCGUAAGCAGACUCAAACAGGCGCAAACACAAAAAGGCACAGUCGAGGCUAAAAGUCAAGUUUGGGAGAUUGGAGAAUAGAGAUGGAUUGGUGGGAAUAAUGGAAGCAUAGGAAUUGGAUUUGAUGGAAGGAAAGAAAUGGAGACAAGGAAGGAAGUUAUGGGAUUAAAGGGACACUUCAGGCACCCAGGCCACUUCUGCCCAUUGGAGUGGUCUGGGUGCCAACUCCCACUACCCUUAACCCUGCCAGUGUAAUUAUUGCAGUUUUUUUAUAAACUGCAAUAAUUACCUUGCAGGGUUAACUCCACCUCUAGUGGCUGUCUACUUCUGUGUCCUCUAGCACAGAUUUUCUGUGCUAGAGCGUCGCUGGACGUUCUCACGCUGUGUGGACCUCCAGCGUCGCUCAAUUCCCCAUAGGAAAGCAUUGAAAAGCAUUCAAUGCUUUCCUAUGGGUAGCUCUAAUGUGCAUGAGCGGCAUUGCCGCCCAUGCACAUUAGGUUUGGCCGGCGGGCGGGAUCAGUCUCGCCCACCGGCCGACAUAAUGAAGAAGAGGAGCGGCGGCAACCCGAAACCACCGCCGAGGGACAUCAGCGGGGGUCUCAGGUAAGUGACUGAAGGGGUUUUCACCCCUUCAGCAAUCAGGGAUUGGGAGGUGGGAGGGAGAGGGGACCUGCAGUGCCAGGAAAACGGGGAUUGUUUUCCUGGCACUGGAGUUACCCUUUAAGAGAGGAUAGAGAGAGAUUUGAAUGAAGGGAGGAUAAGUGUGAUGGGAAUGUAAGAAUGCAAAGGAGUGAUGAGCAUUGUUAUGGCAGUAAAGAGAUAGCAUAUGUCCAGACACUUUAAUUGAAAAAAGAAGCGGUGGGCGUGAGGCCAGGGCCGGAGCGGUUUUGAGACAUUUUAGGUUACUUACUAAUUACAAUUUAUAAAAUGUAACUUAAAACAAUAUCUUAUUGACCCAGACUGAUUCCAACACCUUAAUUGUACGUUAAAUACAUAUUACUAAGAGUUUUAUUGCUGUGGAGCUCUGUUAUACUCACACACCAACAACCUUGAAAAGAGGGACAUUAGGAUGUAAAGGGGACAUAGGGAGUUGGGCCCAAAAUAGGGACUGUACUUUCAAUACAGGGGCACUUUGGAGGUAUGGGGGGAGGGAGUGAUAAUUUACAAUGUAUAUGGAUUUUAGGGAGCCAGGAGUGCAUUGGUGCCAUCCCAGGCUAAAUGGUUACUCCAAGCACCAUGAUCAUGUCAGUAAAAUGAAUUGAAGUGGUCUUGGUGCCCAGAGUCUGUAUGUUUCAGAGUAAUAUGUGGGUAAUGUUUAUCCUGUUGCAAAUUGUGUGUCUGAUGCCAGCACACACAGUAUACUUGAACCAGAUGCUCAUAAGCAACAUGAAAUCCUCCCUUUCAUGCUGCCCAUGUCCUCAUCUCAGGCUGCCCUGACUGACCUCCGUCCCCCUAGGACCCGCCGACAUGGGCAAAUGCUGCCAAUGGAGGAAGAGUGGGUUGUGAGGGAAACUUGGCCAUGCCACUGGAAUUUUAAAUAUAUAUAUUUUGACCACUUACCUGGGGUUGACUUGUCCAGCUGUGUGCUCCUUAUAGUGCAGGGCUAAGUUCAUUGCCUGCGAGCACUCCGCUGAGGCAGGAGCUGUGACUAGCACACGGUAGACCCCAGGUAAGUAGCUAAACAGUUCCAAAAUGGUUUGACUAAUUACCCUGGGAGGGCGUUGGGGUACUCCUGUUACCAUAACCACUACAGUGGGCUGUAGUGUUAGGUUAUUGUGCUUGGAGUUCUUCUUUUUAGAGUAGUAGUAUUUCAUCAUUACAGGAAUCGUACUGCAUAAAAUUACAAUUAUGUCUUUUCUUCCAGGCAGAGAGUCUGCUGAAAGGCCUCCAGGAAAGAUUCCAGGGGAUGUCAGAUCAACUAACACAAAGAAAUAUCCUUUUGGUUGCACUUUGAAAUAAGUGUCAGUUUUCUCUAUUGUGGGAUUGAGUUGUUUUGUUAAAGUAUCACCUGGCUGUUACUCAACCAAUGCAAUAGUGUAUGUUCUAGAAAUUAGGGGUAAAAGAGAUGAGGCCAAAAAUUAAAACAAGUGAAAAGUAUACUAUACUUAAGUCUGCAUUAUUUCUUAAUUGGUCAUUUAUUGGCACCAGCCUCACAAAUCUACGUUAUGCCUGGGAAUUGUAACCGUAAAUAACCAUUGAAGAUAUACAGUAAAGUGCUAUGAAUGUUUCAAGAGUGCUACAUUAGGUUUUAGCAAGGGUUUAGAUUGUAGUCGCUGCCAUUUUGCUGGUGUGAAAGGUCAGUUGUAUGCAAAGUACGGAGUAUGAAAGUAAAAUUCAGUGGCUGUGUAUAAAAACAACAAAACCAAUUAUAUGGUAUGAAUUAAACCAGAAAUGUACCACCACAAUAAUAAAUACACACCAAACACUUAAAUCACAGAACGUUAUUUUCAGAUUUAAAUGCUUGGCCAAUGUACACAGCAGGUCCUUUUCUGAUAAGAUCAAAUGUAAGACAUGUUGAAUAUUUUAGUUAAAAUAUUAUUUCAGGGGUUGAUUAACGUGUGUAUGAGUCUGAAAGAUGUGUUUUUGUUAAGAGUUACAUUUAUAUAGGUUUAUAUAAAAAUACUCAAAAUAUCAUAUAGGCAGCAAUUAUAUAUUUUUUUUCUCUACGGCCAUGUCUCCCUUCUUUCAUAAGAUUUACCAAACCCAUUAUAUGUGAGUACAUUUCGAAUAAACUGUGUUGAUUCAACACAAGGAAAUUAGACAUUUGUAAUGGUGUUAAAUGGCUUUGUCUGCCAUGCUGACAAGUGUACAAAGUAAACAUAUAAGAAAGAAGUUGGGGAAACAUUUUACCCCUUAUAACAAUAUGUGUUUUAGGUCUUGCUCAGCAUUAUUCAAACUUCUAAUCCAGUCCAUACAAAUUCUACACAAUGCAGAGGCAUUGCCAACCCUACAUAAAGUAUCGAAAAAAAGCUGAGGGGAGACAGCAGGCUUUACUAUGGGUAGUGUUUAUUUUAUUUUUUUCAUCAUCCAAGAAUACUUCUAUCUCAAAGCACCAUAUUAUGUUAGGCAUCCAUAUAAGCUUUACCUAGCUAGAAAAUGUUUUUAUAUACAUAAGAAGGAAAAGAGUGAAUUUUUGGUAGAACAUAAUUUCAUGCUAACUCAUGAUAAAGGCCAUAUAUCCUCAUAUACUUCAGAUAAGAUGAUUUUCUAUCCUGUUUUCUUAUGGUACCUAAGAAUACCAUAUUCCCUAGCUGUUUGUCUACAGACCCAUUGAUAUAGGACAUCAAACUUAAGCAGUAAACACAAUAUAUUCUAAAUAAUAAAGGUCCACUAUAGUUUCAGGAUUACUAAUGUGUUCCUGACACUAUAGUGCCUAUGUGGCUGUUUAGGUCACCAGACCCCCUUGGAUCGCACUGAAAAGGUGUUAAACUCGCCUCUUCUCCAAUUCUGCAUGGUCUGGCUGCAGCAUGCCCCAAUUCUGUUUUGAUGAUCUUAGCCAAUGUUUUCCCAUAGCUUCCUUCGCAGGGCGUGAAGACGCUGAAUGCUGGUGCUGCACACUGUGCAGCACUGACAUGGAAAGCACCUCUAGUGGCAGUCUUGAGUUGCCAGCCAGCAAUGUAAACACUGCUUUUCUCUGAAAAGGCAGCGUUUACAAUGAAAAGCCUAUAUUAAAGGGAAACUAUAGUGCCAGGAAAACAAACUUGUUUUCCUGGCACUAUAGCUCCCUAUAGUGUCCCACUAUGUCACUCCCUGUGCUGGGAUGGUCGCGUUGCAUUAGGCCUUCCCCCAUAGGAAAGCAUUGUAAAAUUGUAAGGAUUGUAUAAUGCUUUCCUAUGGGAUUUUGGGUGUUGCUGGAUGAUCUCGUGUAUAGCGUGAGGACGUCCAGUGUCAGGCGACCAAAAGUUGCCCAAGGACAAGGAAGUUCCUCUAGUGGCUGUGUGGUAGACGGCCCCUAGAGGUUUAGUGAACUCUGGCAGGUAAUUACUGCAGUUUACUAAAAUCUGCAAUAAUUAUCUUUGCAAGGUUAAGGGACAUGGGACACUGCACCCAGACCACUUCAAAGAGCCGAAGUGGUUUGGGUACCUAUAGUGUCCCUUUAAAGAUUUUAGCAUAAGAUAGCUGGAGAAAGGUAAAAUGUUAUGCAACCAGAAACAUUUGGCAGCAAGAAUGCUUUCAAUAUGUCAUAAUAUGUGUUUUACGAAGAUAACUAAGUAACCAAUGAAUUGUUGGGAUUAUUCUGACUCUGUGCUAUCUAUGGGAAUGAAUUAAAACUGAGUCUUUAAAAGCUAUAUGCUUUUACUAAAUAAAAUAUAAAAUUAUAUUUUUGGUCGUACAUUAAUUUCUCCCAGCUAGCAGAUUAAUGAGGUUUGUCUGUGAUCUAUUCAACUGCCCAAGUUUAAGUGAUAGGCCGAUCCAACAGGCGUGAACAUCCCCAUUAAAAAAUGACCUUUUACAGUGUACUUGUAAAAUGUACAAAUAUCCUUAUUUUAAAGUUAUGUAUAUUAAUGAUAACCUACCAGCAUUGCAAGUUUAGAAUAAUCAAAUAUUUUUUUAUAAAAUCACCUGUUAUGUAACACUAACUCCCAUGAUGCUUUGUCAAUCACAUUAGUCAUUAAAGUGAGACCGCAAGGUGAAUAUAAAGUAAAAUUCAAACUUAAGGUAAAAAAAAGCCAAAAUUAACAGCUUCUCUAAGUCGGCUAUGCUUUUAGUUCGUUUGGCUAAGAUCAUCAAAACAGAGGCGGAGCAAGCAGAGGCUAGACUAUUGUGGCGUUGGAGAUCCAAUGGGGGCCCAGGACCUAAACUGCUCUGGACUUACAUUUGAAAUUCACUUUGAAUUCUCACUUUAGAAAAUAACCCUGUAAGUAUCACAGGACAUGCCUAUUGUAGCUGAGAAGCCUUCUGAUGAUUUAUAGGUAAAAUGGAUUAUUCUAUAAUGAAUAACAAUUGUUUACUUAACAAACUUUUUGGACUACAUCUGGAAUGAAUAUUAUGAAAUUUACAUUACACCUAGAGUAUUAAAAGGCAAUGAAAAUUUGGCCUUUUGUAUAUAUAAAACGCAGUUCUGCAGCAAAAUAAUAAAAUGGAGAAAUUAUCAUCACAACCAAUAUGUCCUUGAUUGAUAGAUUUUUAGAAUUUGACCCAAAAUAGCUUUCUAUGCAGAUUCCCAACAUGGCAUUUCAGUUUUUAUCUUUUCAAUACAGAAAUGAAAACAUAUUUAAAUAUAUCUUAUGAUAAACCGGUUGAUCAAGAAUGUUUUGAAUACUUGAAAACUAUUUUUUAUAAUUUUCUUUAAUAUCCUACUGGAAGAAAUUGGCUCCAAGCUUGACGAACUGCAGAAGGAUGUCAGUGAACUGAUGACACAAGCUGGCAUAGAUAACCCUGAUGAUGUAGUGGUAAGAAUCUUGUUUGCUUUUCAUUAGGCAAAAAAUUUAGUUUACAAUGGGAUGAUUUACUAAGCUCUAAAUUCAAACCAAUUUACAAAAUUAGAGUAAAAGAUCUCAACGGAAUGAGAGCGGUUUACCAGGAUUCAAAAGUGUUUCCAAGGAAAUAUUGGUGGAUUUCCACUGGCAGAAUGAAGCAGAUCGUAUUUACCAGUUAACAGGCAAUUGCUCACAAUGAGUAAACAUAGCUUCCAGCAUUAGGCGAUAUGAACUCAGGAUGGGAAAAAGUGCACACCACGCACCCUGGCCUGCUGAACAUAAGGCUGUCCAUGGACAGAGCUCUUCUAAAUCGAGAGCACUCACACUGCGCAGUGCAAGUUCGUCUAAUAAUGCACUAAUGGUGUGCUUGCUGGAGACAUUUCUAUGGUGUCUAGAGACGUGGCACACAAGUUAACAAACCCGGGAUGACGAGACAGGAGUCCAAAACCCAGGACUGUUGGGAGGCAUGCUAUAGUGCACGUUGCUUUGGGAAGUAUUUCCAAGCAGGGACAACAGUGUAGAAGGGAACAGAGGGAUGGAUGUUACAUUAGUAAAAUACCCACAUAGAUUUCAGCAUUGCUGGACUUGAGGUGAAUAUUAAAUAUCUCCUAAACCAAUAAAUUAUAUAAUAUCUUUAUGAUAACUCACAUAUUAAUUCAUUAAAGAGAUAAUUGCACUUACGCUGAACCAAUCAUGACUGGUAUAGAUACUAAAUAAGGUGUUCAACACACAUAGUGUGUUGUGGUUACCAAGUAAAACGUCAUCGCUAAAGCCAGGCCUCAGACCACCAAAACAGUGUACAACCUACGCACAGAAUAAUAGCUGGGGGGCUCCACAUGUAGAUCUGUAAUUUUAACUUUACAGUUAAAGUGUUUCUGAACAUGCAUACUGUUGUGGUUGGAUGGCCUUACCAGUACUCUAAUGUUGAUGGAUGUGGAUAAUACUCAUUCCAGCAUUUAUAUUUGCUUGUUUAAACAAACUUAAAGGACAACUGUCACCUCAAAACUAAUUUAUUAAGUUUUGAAAAUAAAUAUUUUUAAUGAACUGUAUGUAAAAAAACAAACAAACAAAUAAAACACCACUGCACAUACGGGAUCCUUUAACCAUCACUACUUCAAAACACUGAAGUGGUCAUGGUGCUUAGAGUGGAUCUGACACCUCUCUAAAAGUAAACCCUCAUCGCCCUGUGCGGAUUUGCAAAGAGGUGUAAGAAAAACAGAUACACAAUAUAAAAUGAAAAUCUGUUCAAAAGUUAAAAAAUAAUUAUAGUAAGAGCAUAGCUAAAUAUGGGUGGGCAAAAAUAUCAGAUGUCAAAGUUCUGCUUUAAUAUGUCACACCCAGUGUGUUCUAAUAUGUCAAAUGUGGCAAUCUCACUAAUCAUAAUCGGAGACAUGAAUAAGAACCUGUAGCAUGCUGGUAACCAAGUGAGACUAACUGAUAAUUGACACUGAUAAUAGUUUACUAUAGAUAACUUGUUUAGAGGCAUUUUCUUUUCAAAACACACUGUUAAGUACUUUUUUUUUUUUUUUCUCUUUCAGCCCUAAAGCACGAACAAGAAAAUCCAAAUGUAUCUUUUUGUAUCUGUGAGAAGUCUGUCCUAUGUAUUGUUUUAUAUUUUUAAAUAAAUAUAAUAGAUUAAAUAAAUGCUGUAUUCUUAAAGCUG
Molecule: non-coding RNA, 9753 nt
Organism: Pelobates cultripes (western spadefoot toad)
Lineage: Eukaryota; Metazoa; Chordata; Amphibia; Anura; Pelobatidae
Source: the annotation of a GenBank genome assembly